GCCCGGGUAGCUCAGCCUGGAUAGAGCAUCACACUCCUAAUGUGAGGGUCGCAGGUUCAAAUCCUGUCUCGGGCG
RNAcentral lists this transfer RNA (75 nucleotides) under Candidatus Pacearchaeota archaeon CG1_02_32_132. RNAcentral describes it as "tRNA-Arg". It matches the Rfam family "tRNA". Rfam says of the family: Transfer RNA (tRNA) molecules are approximately 80 nucleotides in length. The record is from RNAcentral. Lineage: Archaea; Nanobdellati.